AUGCUCAAUUUGGCAGUACAUGUACUAAAAUUGGAAUGAUACAGAGAUUAGCAUGGUCCCUGCCCAGGGAUGACAUGUAAAUCUGUGAAUUGUUCCAUAUUUUU
This 104-nucleotide small nuclear RNA is filed under the name Castor canadensis (American beaver). The record is from RNAcentral. Lineage: Eukaryota; Metazoa; Chordata; Mammalia; Rodentia; Castoridae.